CGGGGUGAGUAAUGCUUGGGAAUCUAGCUUAUGGAGGGGGAUAACUACGGGAAACUGUAGCUAAUACCGCGUAGAAUCGAGAGAUGAAAGUGUGGGACCUUCGGGCCACAUGCCAUAGGAUGAGCCCAAGUGGGAUUAGGUAGUUGGUGAGGUAAAGGCCCACCAAGCCGACGAUCUCUAGCUGGUCUGAGAGGAUGACCAGCCACACUGGGACUGAGACACGGCCCAG
RNAcentral lists this ribosomal RNA (229 nucleotides) under uncultured bacterium. RNAcentral describes it as "partial 16S ribosomal RNA". It matches the Rfam family "Bacterial small subunit ribosomal RNA", at positions 104 to 334 of the family's 1533-position model. The record is from RNAcentral.